AUGUCGAUCCGGAAGGCGCUGGGCGCGGUCAAGGACCAGGCCACCAUCGGCAUCGCCAAGGUGUCCAGCGCGGUGGCGCCGGACCUGGACGUGGCCAUCGUGCGCGCCACGGCGCACGACGACGGGCCCCCCGACGAGCGCCACGUGCAGGAGGUGCUCCGCCUCACCUCCGGCUCCUCCAGGGUCCACGUCGCCGCCUGCGUCGCCACCGUGUCGCGCCGCCUCGCCAGGACCCGCGACUACGUCGUCGCCGCCAAGUGCCUCGCGCUGCUCCACCGCCUCGUGGCCGACGGCGACCCGCACUUCCGCCACGAGCUCGUCCGCCCCGCCGUCUCCGCGGGCCGCCGCGGCGGCGUCGGCGGCGCGCCCGUGCUCGCGGCGCUCUCCGACUUCCGCGACGAGGCACACUCCGCGUCCUGGGACCACUCCGCCUUCGUGCGCGCCUACGCGCUCUACCUCGACGACCGCGUCCGCUUCCUCCUCGCCCUCCUCCCCGCGCCCCGCACAGUCCGCUUCGCCGACCACGACGGGUACGCCUACGGUGGCCGCGCCGCCGGGGGCGCCUCGCCGCCUCCGGACAUGACGGUCUCGGUGCACGACAUGGACGUGGAGGGGCUCCUGGCGCGCGGGCAGCAGCUGCGCCAGCUCAUCGACCGCUUCCUCGCCUGCCGCCCCACCGGGGCCGCCAGGCGCAGCCGCGUCGUGCUCGCCACGCUCUGGCCCGUCGUCAAGGAGAGCGGCCGGCUCUACGAGGACGUCGCCGUCGUGCUCGCCGUCCUGCUCGACCGCUUCUUCGACAUGGAGUACCCCGAGUGCGUCAAGGCCUUCGAGGCGCACGUCAGCACCGCCAGGCUCGUCGACGACCUCCUCGCCUUCUACUCGUGGUGCGACGACGCUGGCGUCGCGCGCUCCUCUGACUUCCCGGAGGUCAAGCGCAUCGACGACAAGCUCCUCGAGACGCUCGAGCAGUUCGUGCGGGAGCGCGGCAGGGCAGGCCAGAACUCGCCGCCGCCGCGACAGGCGCAGCACGCUGUCCACGACGAACACCACCAGGCAGAGUACGACAUGAACGGCAUCAAGGCGCUCCCGGCCCUAGAGCAGAUCAACGCUGCGACGGUUCCGCGACCAGAGCCGGCGAAAGCUAGCGUCGCGCCGGUGGCCAGGGCAGCUGAUCAGACUAACGACCUGGUGGACCUGAGGGAGUCCGCGGCAGCAGCCGACGAGCAGGGGAACAAGCUGGCGCUCGCGCUCUUCUCGGAGCAGCCACAGUCCGCGAACGGCAGCUGGGUCGCGUUCCCGUCCGACGACGGCGCCCCCAACCCCAAGGCGACGACGACCUCCGCGUGGCAGACGCCGGCGGCCGAGCCGGGGAAGGCCGACUGGGAGCUGGCCCUGGUGGAGACGGCGAGCAACCUGUCGCGCCAGACCGCGGCGCUGGGCGGCGGCAUGGACCCGCUCCUCCUGCACGGGAUGUACGACCAGGGCGCCGUGCGGCAGCACGCGCGCGCGCAGGCCGCGUCCGGGAGCGCGAGCAGCGUGGCGCUCCCGGGCGCUCCCGCCGCACACAACAUCCUGGCGCUCCCGGGGCCCGACGGCGCGGUCGGCGGCGACCCGUUCGCGGCGUCGCUGGCCGUGCCGCCGCCGUCGUACGUGCAGAUGGCCGAGAUGGAGCGGAAGCAGGAGCUGCUGGCGCAGGAGCAGAGGAUGUGGGCGCAGUACCGGCAGGGCGGGAUGCAGGGGCAGGCCGGCCUCAACGGGCUCGCCGUCGGCGGCGGCGGAAGCGCGUUCGCGUCCAACACCUCCGUGCCGAUGCCCAUGGCCUACCACUACCAUGGAGCCGGCGCGUACUACUACUAG
RNAcentral lists this ribosomal RNA (1857 nucleotides) under Triticum aestivum (bread wheat). RNAcentral's name for it is "partial small subunit ribosomal RNA". Lineage: Eukaryota; Viridiplantae; Streptophyta; Magnoliopsida; Poales; Poaceae. The record is from RNAcentral.